UCGGCUUUCCUCGAGAAAAAAAUGCUGUGCGCACAAAGAGCCAAAAAAACAACAACUCUUGACGAAGACUAAACCGAACGAAAAAGUCACAAAAUGUUGUCGUAAUAUAUGCACGAACUGUUCUGAACUGUUUCGGAUGGGAAGCAUGAGAUGUAAAAAAAUGGGAGGACAAGAAAGAGAUAGAGAUGGCGCUUACCCUUAGCGGUGCUCUCACACGUAAUGUUGCUGGGCUGGCUUUGUUUGAAGAACCUUUCGGUUACCACCCAGACCUGAAAACAGUACCUGGUCCAUUGCUCCAGCUCCAACACCACUUCAUGCAGUUGGAUGCCAUUCAUCCGUUUGACCUGCAGGGGGAGAUAGAGGAGAAUUAAGGAAGCAGUGAGCGCCACACAAUGAUGGUGUGCCUGUCCUAGACUACAGUGAGUCAGUCUUUUGCCUUUACCACGUAACCAGCUGAAAGGAAAGCACUUAACUCAGCAGCUACACGAGAAGGAUCGAAAAAGGAAAGCACUUAACUCAGCAGCUACACGAGAAGGAUCGAAAAAGGAAAGCACUUACUCAGCAGCUACACUAGAAGGAUCGAAAAAGGAAAGCACUUAACUCAGCAGCUACACUAGAAGGAUCGAAAAAGGAAAGCACUUACUCAGCAGCUACACUAGAAGGAUCGAAAAAGGAAAGCACUUAACUCAGCAGCUACACUAGAAGGAUCGAAAAAGGAAAGCACUUAACUCAGCAGCUACACGAGAAGGAUCGAAAAAGGAAAGCACUUACUCAGCAGCUACACUAGAAGGAUCGAACAAGGAAAGCACUUAACUCAGCAGCUACACUAGAAGGAUAGAACAAGGAAAGCAUGGGACUGAAGAGUAAGAGCGUACCUGAGGCUCUGAACUGUGAAGUGGGUGUUGGCAGGAGUCCCUGAACAGGGCAGUCAGGUCAGAGUGUGCUCAAGGUUGAAGGAGACAAUGGACACGUUGCUAAAGACUGGGGGCACCACUGAAACAUAUAGACAUAUAGAGAGAGAGGGAGGGAGGGAGACGCAGACAAAAAAAUAUAAAAUGAUAAGACAGUCACACAGAACAGGACAGCCAGAGAGACAGGUAUUAAACAGGACAGCCAGAGAGACAGGUGUUAAACAGGACACCAGCCAGAGAGACAGGUGUUAAACAGGACACCAGCCAGAGAGACAGGUGUUAAACAGGACAGCCAGAGAGACAGGUGUUAAACAGGACAGCCAGAGAGACAGGUAUUAAACAGGACACCAGCCAGAGAGACAGGUAUUAAACAUGACACCAGCCAGAGAGACAGGUGUUAACCAGGACACCAGCCAGAGAGACAGGUGUUAAACAGGACACCAAGCGAGACAGGUAUUAAAACAGGACACCAGCCAGAGAGACAGGUAUUAAAACAGGACACCAGCCAGAGAGACAGGACACCAGCCAGAGAGACAGGUAUUAAACAGGACAGCCAGAGAGACAGGUAUUAAAACAGGACACCAGCCAGAGAGACAGGUAUUAAACAGGACACCAGCCAGAAAGACAGGUAUUAAACAGGACAGCCAGAGAGACAGGUGUUAAACAGGACACCAGCCAGAGAGACAGGUGUUAAACAGGACACCAGCCAGAGAGACAUGUGUUAAACAGGACAGCCAGAGAGACAGGUGUUAAACAGGACAGCCAGAGAGACAGGUAUUAAACAGGACACCAGCCAGAGAGACAGGUGUUAAAACAGGACAGCCAGAGAGACAGGUGUUAAAACAGGACAGCCAGAGAGACAGGUGUUAAAACAGGACAGCCAGAGAGACAGGUAUUAAACAGGACAGCCAGAG
Molecule: long non-coding RNA, 1825 nt
Organism: Oncorhynchus kisutch (coho salmon)
Lineage: Eukaryota; Metazoa; Chordata; Actinopteri; Salmoniformes; Salmonidae
Exons: 3
Source: RefSeq, a predicted model, not a curated record